AACAGACAGCAGGCACAGCAUGGGAUACAGGUAAGGACAGACAGCAGGCAGCAUGGGAUACAGGUAAGAACUGACAGCAGGCAGUAUGGGAUACAGGUAAGAACAGACAGCCGGCACAGCAUGGGAUACAGGUAAGAGAAGACAGCCGACACAGCAUUGGAUACAGGUUAGAACAGACAGCCGGCACAGCAUGGGAUACAGGUAAGAACAGACAGCCG
Pelobates cultripes (western spadefoot toad) is the source of this 218-nucleotide non-coding RNA. The record is from the annotation of a GenBank genome assembly. Lineage: Eukaryota; Metazoa; Chordata; Amphibia; Anura; Pelobatidae.